UGGGGAAUUUUGGACAAUGGGCGAAGGCCUGAUCCAGCAAUGCCGCGUGUGUGAAGAAGGCCUUCGGGUUGUAAAGCACUUUUGUCCGGAAAGAAAUCCUUGGCUCUAAUACAGUCGGGGGAUGACGGUACCGGAAGAAUAAGCACCGGCUAACUACGUGCCAGCAGCCGCGGUAAUACGUAGGGUGCAAGCGUUAAUCGGAAUUACUGGGCGUAAAGCGUGCGCAGGCGGUUUGCUAAGACCGAUGUGAAAUCCCCGGGCUCAACCUGGGAACUGCAUUGGUGACUGGCAGGCUAGAGUAUGGCAGAGGGGGGUAGAAUUCCACGUGUAGCAGUGAAAUGCGUAGAGAUGUGGAGGAAUACCGAUGGCGAAGGCAGCCCCCUGGGCCAAUACUGACGCUCAUGCACGAAAGCGUGGGGGAGCAAACAGGAUUAGAUACCCUGGUAGUCCACGCCCUAAACGAUGUCAACUAGUUGUUGGGGACUUCAUUUCCUUAGUAACGUAGCUAACGCGUGAAGUUGACCGCCUGGGGAGUACGGUCGCAAGAUUAAAACUCAAAUGAAUUGACGGGGUCAUAGCUG
Molecule: ribosomal RNA, 581 nt
Filed under: uncultured bacterium
Lineage: Bacteria
Description: partial 16S ribosomal RNA
Rfam family: Bacterial small subunit ribosomal RNA
Source: RNAcentral